This 254-nucleotide ribosomal RNA is filed under the name uncultured bacterium. RNAcentral describes it as "partial 16S ribosomal RNA". It matches the Rfam family "Bacterial small subunit ribosomal RNA", at positions 524 to 776 of the family's 1533-position model. The record is from RNAcentral.
UACAUGUGGGGCAAGCGUUGUUCGGAAUUACUGGGCAUAAAGGGUGCGUAGGCGGCUUGUUAAGUCAGGGUGAAAGUUUUCGGCCCAACCGGAAAAUUGCCUUUGAUACUGGCGAGCUUGAGUGCGUGAGGGGUAACCGGAACGAGUCGUGUAGCGGUGAAAUGCGUAGAUAUGACUCGGAAGGCCAACGGCGAAGGCAGGUUACUGGUACGCAAGCGUGACGCUGAGGCACGAAAGCGUGGGGAGCAAACAGG